Molecule: ribosomal RNA, 308 nt
Filed under: uncultured Pseudomonas sp.
Lineage: Bacteria; Pseudomonadati; Pseudomonadota; Gammaproteobacteria; Pseudomonadales; Pseudomonadaceae
Description: bacterial SSU rRNA
Rfam family: Bacterial small subunit ribosomal RNA
Source: RNAcentral
GUUGGGUUAAGUCCGUAACGAGCGCAACCCUUGUCCUUAGUUACCAGCACGUUAUGGUGGGCACUCUAAGGAGACUGCCGGUGACAACCGGAGGAAGGUGGGGAGUGACGUCAAGUCAUCAUGGCCCUUACGGCCUGGGCUACACACGUGCUACAAUGGUCGGUACAAAGGGUUGCCAAGCCGCGAGGUGGAGCUAAUCCCAUAAAACCGAUCGUAGUCCGGAUCGCAGUCUGCAACUCGACUGCGUGAAGUCGGAAUCGCUAGUAAUCGUGAAUCAGAAUGUCACGGCGAAUACGUUCCCGGGCCUU